RNAcentral lists this transfer RNA (68 nucleotides) under Meriones unguiculatus (Mongolian gerbil). RNAcentral describes it as "tRNA (ENSMUGG00000000025.1)". The record is from RNAcentral. Lineage: Eukaryota; Metazoa; Chordata; Mammalia; Rodentia; Muridae. RNAcentral also lists the same sequence under 1 other name.
AUUCUCUUAGUAUAAACAGUACAAUUGACUUCCAAUCAGUUAGAUCUAGCAAACUCUAGAAGAGAAUA